GGGGGGGGUGGGCAGGUCAACCUCUAAUCUUAUUAUGAACAGAGAGCACUACCACUGCACACUGACCCCCAACUCCCCCUUCUGUUCACCCCAACUAACCCAGGCCUUAAACCCCACCCGUCCACGCAGGCAACUUCAAGAACCCCACCAGGGCCAAAGAGCAUUCCUGUGAAUCUACAACGAGGGGAUCUGAGAGAGACCAUUUGUAAGGGAGGCUGGAUAGUGAUGAGUGUCAUGUGGUAGAAAAUAAGAAGAGAGAAGUGCGCGGUGCAGUUAAUUAGUUUGCAUUUGAACUGUUGCACCACCUAAAGCCAAGCGGAGGGUCUCUGCUUUGGAAAGGUCCCCGGGGGGAUUACAACACACAAAUAACUGAUUUACAGUAAAUACAACCACUGAGGUUAUGCAAAUCACAAUGAACACAAAGUAGAUACGGUACUUGGGCCACAAUAAAUGUUGAAUCAUUGUUCAGUGGUCACGUAGAAAGCAUUUUUUAGGACUUAAAGUACUGUGGUCUGAAAAAUGUUCCCGUCAGCACCUCAGUGUUACUUUUCCAUCCAAAAGGGAUCAGAUUAUGUGGCACUUUGUCAUGUGAUGCUUUUAAGUGCAACAAUUCCCAUGUGUUCUCCCUGUUAUUGACAUGCAUGUUGGAGGAAGAACUCCUGGCUGGGAGCGCAGCUGUUUAUGUAUUUCCUUUUUAUAUUAAUAGUUGAAUAAAUUCAUCAGCGGUGGAAAGUAAGUCACUUUUACUUCUGUGCUGAUUUCGUUUUUAUAUUUUGGACAGUUACUUUUCAGAUAAAUGUUCAUUAAUGUAAUGAAUUAAUGUCUCGGUAGAGAUACAGAGACCAGGAGGUAAAGCUACCGGUUUGCCCACAUUUAGUGAAUAUAAACCUGUGAUGACUGAAUAAAAGAGUUCUGCUGAUUUAGUGACUUUCAUAUUUGUAUAAUGUCCAAAGGAAAUGUGCUAUUGCAGCCGUUGUUUGCUUUUCAAAUAAAAACUACUUGCAUCAGCAUUGAAGUUAUAGUCAUGACUCAAAAUAGUAAGUUGAUAUGUUAGUUUUAGGUGUGUUAAGCUAACAUGCGUUUUCAGUUCACCCAAUUAACUUGUACCAUUUAACCUUUUAGAGCUCCCAAUUGAAGCUGGGUUUCAAUUUCAAUUGAAGCUACUACGGCUUUAUUGUUAGCAAGUCCCUAACAAUAACAUUCAACCACAAAUCAUGAUAAUAAUCAUACACUUAGUUUCAUACACUAAAUUCAAUGUAUACUGUAAAAUCUACUUGUCAGUUUGUACCGUUGCGCAAAAUCUCCUGAAAGUCUCUGAUUGAAAAAUGUGUUAGAUUCAACUAAUCCCGAUUAAACUUUCUCACUUUAGGUUUGUUACUCUUGGUUUAGGUAUGUUAUGAUUGGUUUAGGCAUGUUACGCUUAAUUUAGGUAUGUUAUACUUGGUUAAGGUAUGUUAUACUUCGUUUAGGUAUGUCGAUUUAUAAUUUUUUUUAGGUAUGUGUAACUAUGGAUCAAUAAGAGAUCAUUGUUCCUGAGUUUACACCAGAGUCUCUCGUAUAGACCCAUGGAGACGGUUUGGUUUAGGUAUGUUAUACAUGGUUUAGGCAUGUUAUACAUGGUUUAGGUAUGUUAUACAUGGUGGUUUAGGUAUGUUAUAUUUGGUUUAGGUCUGUCAUACAUGGUUUAGGUCUGUCAUACUUGGUUUAGGUAUGUUAUACUUGGUUUAGGUAUGUUAUACUUGGUUUAGGUAUGUUAAACUUAGUUUAGGUAUGUCAUACAUGGUUUAGGUAUGUUAUAUUUGGUUUAGGUCUGUCAUACAUGGUUUAGGUAUGUUAUACUAAAUCCAGUAGAUGUCACUGUGUCUCUGAAACAUCACUUUUCAAACGUGCCUAUUAGUUCAAGAAUGACAGUGUUUUGAGAACGUUUCCUUCUUACUGAGGCAAACCCAAAGCAAGGAUUACAUGUGGCAACAUCUGCAUCACACAUACAGGAGAGCCUUUGGAUUGCGGGAGGCAGAGAAUGUGGGAGAUGUCAGCGCUCCAAACUGUGUAUCAAAUUUUAAAUUACUUAUAUUUUUCUGUGAUUUUACUUGUUUUAUGGUUAUGGUUUGUUUUGCCCUAUAUUUCUUUUGUAUGUUUUUGGGGCUUUUAGUUAAAUUGAUUUCUUUUGUUGUGUUACGCUGUGACGGUGCUUUUAAAGGUGCUACAUAAAUAAAGUUGAUUAUUUAUUAUCGUCAUUAAGUGCUGCUGCAUGCAGGACUGUCUGUCGUCUGAAAUGGAUGGUGGUCACUGAGGGGGCUUGUUUUGGUUACAACUGGCCCCUUAGACCCACUAACUCAUCUAAAAUGUGACACAAAUCACCCCAAAAAUGCAAAGGGGUCCAACAAACAGACCCCGACGUGGCUCAGAGCGGAAGGGACGCGCUGCGUUGUGCACAGGGAUUCAAACACCGACGCCAAGGCGCCGUCCCGUUCCUCCGGGCCCGAGGCGCUCCACUGAACAGGGAACGCUGGAUCUCCCAGCAUGCAACAGGACGAUACGGGCUGAGCGGAGCUCGACUUGAAGGCACAGACAGGGAGAAUGCAUUGUGGACCACAAUGCGAUGCCUGCCGUCAUCCGACAAACAUGCCGUCUCCUAUUGUGUCAGGAGCCCCCGCGGGCCGCUGUGUAAACAUCCCCUCUGGACCCCAUCAGGACUAUAUUCAGACCCCGAGCAGGAAGUGACUUCAACAUCCACCGCAGCCUUUCCUUUCUCAGGUGGGGAACCAAGAAGGGGCAGGGGGGGGGGGGCUCCUUGAAUUCACAUUUAUUUUGUCCAAAAUCUUUUAUGCAGGCGUGACCUUUGACACCAUCGUGAGAACAUACAGAGACAAUUAUUGCCUAAACGAAUAAUAUAAUUGUCAUUUCAGCAUAUUUACCUCGAAACCAACCAACAUACUGCGCGGUGUGGACCUGUCGUGUUGGCAAACACAUUCAGCGGCGCUGAUUGCAUUAGAAGUACCAGGUUGAGCUACGGAACCCGUGGGGAGCGAUGGAGCUGGUGAAAAAAGGCCGACGUGCUUGGCUGACAGUUGUGAAAACCUUACAGGGGGAGCUACGAGGUUCAAACUGGGCCGAAGCCAAAAAGCAUUAAUGGGGCCUUAUUAAAACACACUCCCCCACAUAGACGACCGUGUAGCCCUCCAGGUUGCCCACACACUUUAGUGCAAGAUGUUUUAACUUUUAUUGUGAAUAAACCUCCUGUUUUCUCAGUAUAAACACUCCUUUCGGACAUAAUCUGUUUGUGGGAGGAAAUGAACCCUUCUUCCGCCUCCUGGUUCAGAGACAAAUCUCUUCAAAAGAAGCCAGUAGAAGUUGAAUUAUCUUUAUUUAUUGUUUUAAAAGGCCUAAAAACUUGAGAAAUUCGACUCAGAAUCCACGAGCCGUGACCACAAAGUAAAAAGAAAAGAAAACACAGAACUUGAUUAAUAGCGAGUUUAUGACUGCAAGGAAAUGCAUGAGAGUAUUAAUGUGUUUAAUUUACGCUUAAUGACUCUGGUGUGUGAGGCGCCGGCACUUGAGCAAAUUCUACAAACCUAAAACUGCACAGCUGGUUUCAAGGCGACUGCUGUUUUAUUUUUUUUCUCAACAAAGGGAGCAGUGAAAGGACAGCGACCGCCAAACACACCGCUGGGGACCAUGAAGGUAACUGGCCCUUUCAGUCUUGUUUGCUUGUGUGUGUCUGUGUGUGUCUGUGUGUGAGAGAGUGUCCUUCUGGUCUAAAAGCUAAAUAAACACACCGAAUUGGGGUCAAGGAUUCCUCAAACAGGUGCACUGGAUGCGACUCGAGCGAGAGACGGAACCUCCGUUUAAAAAGUAGCCACACAAAUGAACAGAAACCAGCCGGAAUUCAAUGAAAGCCGGCAAUCGGUACGCGUGAGUGACCACGAUGUCUCCAGGAACUUCUACGGGAACGAAGCCAGAACCUCCACCUGGAUCGUAUGCAGGGGAGAAGUAUCCAUCUGCCAUGUGUGGACCCCCGCUGUGAGGGGAGGAAGGGGGGGGCUCGGGAACAACCUGCUGCAGACAGAGACGUCAGGGAGGAUCUGCAGGGGAACUGAAAUAAAGGAGAGGAGGAAGCAACAGCAGGUGGGGCGGGAGGGAAACAACAAACACAGGGCUGGUUUUACACACACCUGCUCCACCGGCUGUCCUUCAUCAGCCGGAGGGACUAGGUUUUGGGGACGAGGUUUUGGUCCCGACUGAGGGAUUCAGUCAGAUUCGGGGAUUCCUUAAUGUAACCCCUCAGGCCCAAAGUGGCCAAGAGAGUCAGCUAGUGCAGGUUAAAGCUUUCCUAUCAAUAGAUGAAGCUCGGCAUUGAAAUAACUUGCAUGGUGAACGUUACUUAAAUAGUCUGAGACCGACGUUUGAAAAAGGUGAAAUAAUAAUGAGAUACUUGCAAUUACGAUUAAUUACCACUGCUUUAUACCUAAAUACAACUUUACUACAAUAUGUCAUAUCAAGACCCGAUUUAUGUUCAAAGCAAUGAAUCCUUUAGUAAUUACAUGUUAUACUGUUACUAUUUAUCUGUCUUGGAAUGUGCUGUCGCUUUUAAACAAAUGAACUUGGGGGAGAAAUACAACAUUGACCCCUGAAUGGUGCAUACUUAUUAUAUUAUAGUAUGUUACACCAUGCACGGAGGAGGGUUUUCGUGCCGUCUGCUCAGGUGGACAAGCUGCCUCAGACUGACAAGUGGUGACUCUCAGCACACACACACACACACAGACACACACACCAGAGACUAUGAGGUGAGACCGAGGGACUCGAUCGACGUCUCAGCUGCGAGAUAACAGUUAAUUGCCUUCAGUCCUCCUGACAAAGAUGGAGAGCGAGAGGUCGCCUAAGCCACCCGCGGCCUUCAUAACCUCGCAGCUCUGGGAAUCCUUUUCAUUUCUCUCCCUCCUUUGCUCUCUGACCCCCCUAUUCUCACACACACACACACACACACACACACACAGAGAGAGAUAAUAAAUGCCGUUACAGAGAGAAGAACUCAGACUGCCGAUUGAACUGUGAGAGCGGCUCAGACGGGCGAUGAUAAGAGCCGCUGGUGGUCAAACAGCAUCUGUACCAGCGGGAGUCUGGAUGUUUGUGCUCCUGUUUAAACUCACCCCCCCCCCAUCAAAGCUACGAUCGAGCGCCACCCACACCGAGGCCCCGCGAGCACCAACAAAAUGAGAAAAUCUGCAAUCAUCACAUUUCUGUCCGAGGAAUCAGUAUUAACGAAUCCUCUGAUGUACUCUGUGCCAAGACGUAGUCGGAUAAUUUACUUUAGUAAAAAUGGAAAUAAGUCAAUUUAAAGAAAUGAUUUACAAUUGAAAAGCACCCUUUGGACAUUUUAAAACGGUUUCUUUGCACAACCCUCAACUAUGUGAAAUUUGACAGGCGUUUUUUUGUGGUCUGCUUGGAUCAGAAAAGCUUCAAAGGGCCGGUGAGAUCUGGCUGCCCUUCCUUUGUCACAUGCAGGUUUCAUUAGAAUAAUAUGCGUCUCCACCCACAAGGAACUCAUUUUACAAACGUUCAGGAUAUUUAGCUGGCGAGCCAAUCAGAGCAGCCUGGGCUUUUCUCAGGCUUAAAGAAACAGCCGCUGUAACAUUAAAACAUUUUAACACGUUCCAGUAGAAACGCAAAACACAUGAACCAGAAAAUAAGCAUUUUAUGUUCCCUAUAAAAUGCAGAAAGUAAAAUGAUUCCAUUUCAGAAUAAUAUUUAAUGUACUUGUUAUUGACAUAGAUGGUUACCCUGCAGCCGGCUGCAACAUUAAAGUAAUGAACAUAUUAGUCCAAUAAUAUAUUAAAGUUAUUUGAGGCUAAAGUUAGAACCUUUAAUAACAUGUUGUCAACAAUCAGAGUGAAGGACAGAGUUCGAGUCUCCUCGACUCAACGAUCGCAGAAGAUCCUCAUUUUUUCACAUUUUAUCUCUCUGAGCAUCAAUACGACCAAAAGUUAUUUCUAAUAAAGUUGCCUUUGGGCGCAGCUCUCGAGCCAAUGAGCCAUGGUAUUUAGUUAAGGGCCGUUAGCAAUCAACUGCGUCCAAAACCAUGUCAGGCGCCCUCCGCGCCCGGUAGCCUCUGAUGGCGCCUUUUCAUGUGAGCCGCUUCAUUCGUCAGGCUGAUAAAUCCCUGAGCACAGACUGACAGGCUCUCCGGGAAGACGGAUGGGCCUGGGGAGACUUGUUAAAAGGGGAGUGAGGGGGGGGGGGCUCGCUGCGCCCCUUUUGGCGGGGAGUGGGCGGCGGGUUUGUGUGGCCGUGGAGGUCAACGUCUCACACACGAGCGGCCUUUAAAUCUCCCCGCUGGUCACAGAGCGCCAAACUGUUGUUUCCGAGAGCAGAAAGCUGAAGUCAGAUUAAUGGGCCUGCAGACGCGGGGUUCUCCGUGUCAGCUCUUCGUCACCCCUUCUUUGGGGUUUUUUUGUUUUUUCAGUGUAUACGUUACAUGCUGGGAAACGGUGCAGGUGGCGCCGUUGACGGAGACCCAAGGCGGCGACUAAGAGGGGAGAGGCGGGACUAGAAAAACACCAAUAUCUGCAUCCGCGGAGCGGGGAAACGCAGGCAUCGGACCCCCUUUUGUGUCCUUGAAUGCAACCAAAUCCAGACAGUGCGGCGGAGGAACAAUUGAGUUUGUUUUUCUUGAGUUACAUUCAAAAAAUAAGCUGGCGGUUGGGCCGACCAGCCCGUCCGCGUACCUCAUGUGGUGAGUUGCAGACGUAGUGUUGUAUGUAUCCUGCGUGGAAACGUUCCCCCACUGCAGAAAAAACACCUUUUCACUGUUAGUGGAAGAGCUGCAGGCAAUGUUAUGCCCCCCGUCUCCUCAACGGCCUUUCCUACAUCAUAGAUUUCUAAUUCUACUGCUGCUGCACCGGAGGGGGUGGGGGUCCGAGUCCACCCUUCCCUCCUGUCCAUCUCCUCAUCUAUCGGCUCACAUAUUAUUGUAGCAGGAGCGAAGGGAAGCACCCGUCAACCGGAAGUUCUGCUUCUGGAGAUUGAGCCAGUAGCUAAACGGCGCUUCCUGUCUCCCACCCCUCGUUCCCCCGUCUUAUGUUGCCUAAAGAACCAUUGCAUCAACAUUAAAAGUCAGAUUAAAGCCGAAUGCUUUUGUAACCUGUGUUGAAGAACCACCAAGUCAUUCAAGCUGCAGAACACGGAUCAUAGCGAAGGAAGAAGAACGUGUAUUUUGCAUUGUGGGAACAGCUUAUGUUUUUGAUAAAAGCAGUCGUCUGCACGGUGAGCGUUUACAGACUUCUGCAAACCGGCGAACCCCGAAGUGAGACAAAAAACGUCUCCGUCUCUGCUGAAGACAUUUUGCCCUCACCCAACCCAGUCCCCGCGGGCAGAACGCCGUACGAAUCGCAGGUCGUAGGUCACAGCAGGUUUGCAUUGAAUCAAGCGCAAAGUACACCCCGACACAUGUUACAGAUGUAUCCUCCACUUCUCAACACCGAUACAUCUACGUUUACGUCAAGGGACGGAGGAGAAACUUAAGUUCGGGCCAAACUGGGCGGAUAAUCACAACCAGGCCGAGCGAAAGGGCUCGACGCAGCGGCGAUCAAAGAGGGGCAACAAGUGGACGACGACGCUCUCUUGAUGUUAAACAGCGGGCUUAACCCAACAGAUGUUGCGUAGAUAAAAGGUCGGAGCGGCAAAUCUGCUUUUGUAAGCGUCGGUCAGGGUGUGGAGCUAGGUGGGGGUG
Gasterosteus aculeatus aculeatus (three-spined stickleback) is the source of this 7729-nucleotide long non-coding RNA. NCBI's taxonomy places the organism in Eukaryota, Metazoa, Chordata, Actinopteri, Perciformes, Gasterosteidae. The record is from Ensembl.